Molecule: ribosomal RNA, 484 nt
Filed under: Escherichia coli
Lineage: Bacteria; Pseudomonadati; Pseudomonadota; Gammaproteobacteria; Enterobacterales; Enterobacteriaceae
Description: bacterial SSU rRNA
Rfam family: Bacterial small subunit ribosomal RNA
Source: RNAcentral
UGUCGUCAGCUCGUGUUGUGAAAUGUUGGGUUAAGUCCCGCAACGAGCGCAACCCUUAUCCUUUGUUGCCAGCGGUCCGGCCGGGAACUCAAAGGAGACUGCCAGUGAUAAACUGGAGGAAGGUGGGGAUGACGUCAAGUCAUCAUGGCCCUUACGACCAGGGCUACACACGUGCUACAAUGGCGCAUACAAAGAGAAGCGACCUCGCGAGAGCAAGCGGACCUCAUAAAGUGCGUCGUAGUCCGGAUUGGAGUCUGCAACUCGACUCCAUGAAGUCGGAAUCGCUAGUAAUCGUGGAUCAGAAUGCCACGGUGAAUACGUUCCCGGGCCUUGUACACACCGCCCGUCACACCAUGGGAGUGGGUUGCAAAAGAAGUAGGUAGCUUAACCUUCGGGAGGGCGCUUACCACUUUGUGAUUCAUGACUGGGGUGAAGUCGUAACAAGGUAACCGUAGGGGAACCUGCGGUUGGAUCACCUCCUUAC